UUCAAUCAAAUCAUUUUUCAUUAUCAUAUAAAAACAGGGAAACAUUAGCAAAAGCGGCAAUUAAAUCAGGAUAAGAGAAACCAUAGUUUUGAAGAGCCUCUCAGGACGGCUCAACCUGGUAAAUUUUCUAAAAGGAUAUACAUUGUCUUUCCUUCCAAAAUUCUACAUACACUUCACAAUUCAUUUCGAAAGUAAGUGAAAUUAAUUACCUCAAACAACCAUUUACCUCAAACAACCAUUUCAGCUUCUCUAACACUGGAGGGGAUUCCAAUAUCCAACCUCAUGGUUGAUUUGUAUUCCUCUGGCACAUUUGCACCAGCCUGAAUGCAAAUUUCCACAAUGGCAGGAGCUUGUCCAUAAAAAUUCCUAAGCUCCCUUUGCAAUGGUGACCCAUUUACAUCGGGAACAUGCCACACGUAUCUUGGUGGUAUUAAGUCGUCAAGCACUGCAGCCUGCCAACCAUGUUGUCCGUUUCUUUGUUGGUGCUUGUGGGCUCCACAGUUCUGUGCUUUGUGUCCACUGGGUCCUACAUGCACCUCUGGGCAAUAUCCACAUACUCUCACCGGGUACAUCUUCAUUAGCCUCUUGGCUCCUUUCCUCAUCUUCUCCCAUGCUCGUACUGUUUCCUCAGCAAGAAAUUUGAUUUCUUCUCCAUUAGAUGGGGCUUUAAUUUCUGAGUUGGGUAUUUCAGUUAAUAGUGGCUUUCCAGGAACUUCUGGGACAGGGUCUGGUAGGUCACUUUCAUCUGCAUCAACAAAUUCACUUUUACUGAUCCGAAUGAUUGGUUUUCUUCUCCUUUUUGUGGGAUAUUCAGAAAUAUUCACGCCUGCUUGGAUGCAGAGCUCAACUACAGCAGGAAUUCGGGGGAUUGAAAAUCUCUCCUCGUGAGGAAUACGCUUUCCAAGGCGGUCAAAAAGGUGGUAGGCUUCUAUAGGAACAAAUACAUCUUCAAUAGUUGCAUUUGUCCACUCAUGAAGGCCCUUCCGAAGCGUAGCGUAUUUACCUUUACAUGACUUGAAUGGAUGUCCUACAGGUCCCACAUGGAUUUCAUUACACCACCUGCAAAUGAUAGACUAACCAAUAUAACAUAUUUCAUCGAGGAGGUUAAAGUCUGACAAGCAACAAUUCUUUGUACCCAACUAAUAAUGCAUGCAUGUAUUUUUUAUGUGAUAAGAGCCAUCGUUACCACUUAUCAACAAAUCAUAUGCAAACAAGAAACAAAUAAUUCAAAAUUACUGACGGUCAACCUGCCAAUUUUAAGAUUCUUAAUGCCUCAUACCCAUACUGCAACACUAUAUAUUCAGUUUAUUAAGAGUACUGACAUUUAUUUAUAAACUUUUCCUUUACGGUAGAAUACAGUGAACUGUGAUCAGAUAGCAUACAGCCAUCUCUAGAAAGCAAAAAAUGAUAAGCUAAUUACAUGUGAUGCAUGUAUUCCUCUAUGAUGGAAGAGCCAGAAUUUUAAUGGAAACAAAAUAGGUAACCAGAAAUUUUGAAGCCAAGCAUGACAUUGGACCAUAUGGCUAUGAUAGUUUAUGGGAAAGCAAGAGAGGAUCUGCUAAACCCAUUUUUAUGCAAUUAAUAAUUGAUUUAGCAGGAAACUGUAAACCUGAGCUGUUAUUACCCAUAAUCGAUGAAGAUGGAGUGGAGGAAGCAGAUGAUAAUUACCCACAAGCAUGCACAGGCACCACUUUCAACAAUUUCUUGAGAUUGUUAAUCAUGAUAAUCCUCGCAUUAAACACAUCAUAAGCAAGUGGUAUGAGGCUCUUAACAACAACGCCGUUCUUUGGAGGAGGAGCUUGUCCUUUAGGCCGGCCUUUCCUGUUCUUGAGCCUCUCCCUUGCAGCUCGUCUCAAUUCAACAAUGGGUACUGGAAAGGGCUUUUUCUCCUUUCUCGAAUAAUUUCGAGGAAAAUCAGCAUUUUGUGGAUACUCAUUUGCGAUGACCAAGGCAUGUGGUUGCUGCAACAUUCUUGAUGUAAUGACAGAGUUCAGUUCAAGCCUAAGUUUACUACCUCUAUG
Molecule: unclassified non-coding RNA, 2021 nt
Filed under: Hevea brasiliensis (rubber tree)
Lineage: Eukaryota; Viridiplantae; Streptophyta; Magnoliopsida; Malpighiales; Euphorbiaceae
Source: RNAcentral